UUGCAUCGUCAACUCGCCGAGCUUGUUGAAGGCAGCUCCAGCCGCGGUGAAAAUCUCACCGACCUGCAAGUACAACGAAAAGAUAUCGAUGAAAUGAAAAAAGAACUCGAUCUUUCGUUUUUAUCUUCGACGAGUAUACGAAAGCUCCAUCGUUGUUGUUGGACAGACGGACAGAGAAAAUGAGAGAGAGAGAGAGAGAGAGAGAGAGAGAGAGAGAGAGAGAGAGAGAGAGAGAGAGAGAGAGAGAAAGAGAGUGAGUGUGUGUGAGAGAGAGAGAGAAAAGGAGAGAGCGCGGAAUGCACGUGACUCGGAGAGCGGUAGAAAAAGGAAGACGUAGAACGGUGGGGAGAGAGCGACCGUUAAACACUAUGUGGCGGGAAAGUGCCUAAAAUCAUCGACUAUGAGCGCCUUUUUUUCGCUUACCUUGCUCGCAGAGUUCAUCUCACGAUCAGUUUGUUGUUGCGCGCAUACGCGUCACACUUGGUGGAAAGGAAAAAGCUCGUACGGUAUUGCCAUCUUGCGUCGCUCUCACGAUCCUUUCCGUUAAACAAUUGUAACUUUAAUGCUCUUUUUGCCGGCCUACACCCCGACCAGACCCUGUAACGUACGCUUCGCCUACCUCCUCCUCUUCCUCCUAUUAAAAUAUCCUCUCAUGGUAUCGAUCGUUUCUUCCUUAAUUACGGAGAUUAUUAAGACAUCUUCUUUAAAAAAGUAA
This is a long non-coding RNA of Vespa mandarinia (Asian giant hornet), 715 nucleotides long. NCBI's taxonomy places the organism in Eukaryota, Metazoa, Arthropoda, Insecta, Hymenoptera, Vespidae. The record is from RefSeq and is a predicted model, not a curated record.